AUCCAACUGGUAAUAUCAUACAUAUAAGCAUUGAAAUCUGCAUUUACUAAAAAAAAAAUCCACCCUGCAGUUCACAUCCACCGCUGUUUCAAAUUUUAAACACAGAUGAAACUAUAGCAGCUAGUUAGAAGGACAGCACCGAAGCUACCAAGUUCGCUUUGCCUUUAUAGUUGCUGUGUCCUCAUGUCUGUUUCAAAUCGACUGUGUAAUGGCAGGAAUGGUCAUCGCAGGUCAUAGAGACCAGAACUGUGGCAAAAGCCGGCUUAGGCCAUUCCGGUCCCUGAAGACUUCAUUCCAGGCAAACGGAAGCGAGUAAACCUCAUUUCUCAGUGAGGUUCUGUGAACUGAGCUUACUCAUUCCAAAUGAACGUAUUCAUUCUACUCCUUUAGAAUGAGUGAGCUGAGGUUCACAGACACAUUUCAACAGCAACUGCAGCAAUUGCUUAAAUCUUGGACCAACGACUAGGGGAAGGAAUAUUGUGUCGCUGACGAU
Sapajus apella (tufted capuchin) is the source of this 493-nucleotide long non-coding RNA. RefSeq lists it as uncharacterized. The transcript is spliced from 3 exons. Lineage: Eukaryota; Metazoa; Chordata; Mammalia; Primates; Cebidae. The record is from RefSeq and is a predicted model, not a curated record.